Molecule: microRNA precursor, 58 nt
Filed under: Schistosoma mattheei
Lineage: Eukaryota; Metazoa; Platyhelminthes; Trematoda; Strigeidida; Schistosomatidae
Description: mir-3492 microRNA precursor family
Rfam family: mir-3492 microRNA precursor family
Source: Rfam by way of RNAcentral
AGCUUUCUGAAUCCGUGCUGAGAUUUCGUCAAACACCAACCCAUUAGGGUUGAUCAGA